GACGAACGCUGGCGGCGUGCUUAACACAUGCAAGUCGAACGGUAAGGCCCUUUGGGGUACACGAGUGGCGAACGGGUGAGUAACACGUGGGUGAUCUGCCCUGCACUUCGGGAUAAGCCUGGGAAACUGGGUCUAAUACCGGAUAGGACCCUGGGAUGCAUGUCCUGGGGUGGAAAGCUUUUGCGGUGUGGGAUGGGCCCGCGGCCUAUCAGCUUGUUGGUGGGGUGAUGGCCUACCAAGGCGACGACGGGUAGCCGGCCUAAGAGGGUGACCGGCCACACUGGGACUGAGAUACGGCCCAGACUCCUACGGGAGGCAGCAGUGGGGAAUAUUGCACAAUGGGCGCAAGCCUGAUGCAGCGACGCCGCGUGAGGGAUGACGGCCUUCGGGUUGUAAACCUCUUUCAGCACCGACGAAGCGCAAGUGACGGUAGGUGCAGAAGAAGGACCGGCCAACUACGUGCCAGCCGCCGCAGUAA
Molecule: ribosomal RNA, 478 nt
Filed under: uncultured bacterium
Lineage: Bacteria
Description: partial 16S ribosomal RNA
Rfam family: Bacterial small subunit ribosomal RNA
Source: RNAcentral